UACGUAGGUGGCAAGCGUUGUCCGGAUUUACUGGGCGUAAAGGGCUUGUAGGCGGUUCGUUAAGUCCGGUGUGAAAUCUCCCGGCCCAACCGGGAUAGGUCACUGGAUACUGGCGAACUAGAGGGGGGUAGAGGAAAGCAGAAUUCCUGGUGUAGCGGUGAAAUGCGUAGAUAUAGGAAGGAACACCAGUGGCGAAGGCGACUACCUGGCCAAAUACUGACGCUGAGGUGCGAAAGCGUGGGGAGCAAACAGGAUUAGAAACCCCUGUAGU
This 271-nucleotide ribosomal RNA is filed under the name uncultured bacterium. RNAcentral describes it as "partial 16S ribosomal RNA". It matches the Rfam family "Bacterial small subunit ribosomal RNA", at positions 524 to 794 of the family's 1533-position model. The record is from RNAcentral.